GCCUUGGGGGCGUGCACAAGGACUUUGAAUGGGGGCCCCCCUGACCUUCCCUCGACGUGGCCGUGGCCUGCAGGAGGAUGGGCAGGGACUCUGAGUGGGCGAGGGUCGGAGCUGACCGCCCGCUUCCCUCCCCAAGGCUCUAGCAGCCUGGGCUUCACCUCCAGCCCCUCCCCUUUCUCCUCCUCGUCGCCCGAAAACGUGGAGGAUUCCGGCCUGGACUCUCCGUCCCACGCGGCACCUGGCCCCUCCCCAGAUUCCUGGGUCCCCCGCCCAGGCACCCCGCAGAGCCCGCCCAGCUGUAGGGCGCCACCCCCAGAGGCCAGGGGUAUCCGGGCACCGCCUCUGCCAGACUCGCCGCAGCCCCUCGCCUCGUCUCCAGGCCCCUGGGGGCUGGAGGCCUUGGCCGGAGGAGUCUCGUUCCCUGAGCCCCUCCCCACUGGGCUCUUCAGCUGCCAGCACUGCCUUGGAACGGCCCAGCUUCUUAUCCCAGACAGGACACGGAGUCUCCCGGGGUCCGAGCCCCGUGGUCCUGGGCUCCCAGGAUGCCCUGCCCAUAGCCACAGCCUUCACGGAGUACGUCCACGCCUACUUCCGUGGCCACAGCCCCAGCUGCCUGGCUCGAGUAACUGGGGAGCUGACCAUGACCUUCCCUGCUGGCAUCGUGCGUGUGUUCAGCGGGACCCCACCACCACCUGUCCUCAGCUUCCGGCUUGUACACACAACUCCUAUUGAGCACUUCCAGCCCAACGCCGAUCUGCUGUUCAGUGACCCCUCCCAGAGUGACCCUGAGACCAAAGACUUCUGGCUCAACAUGGCAGCUCUGACCGAAGCCCUGCAGCGCCAGGCAGAGCAGAACCCCACCGCCUCCUACUACAACGUGGUGCUGCUGCGAUACCAG
RNAcentral lists this small RNA (898 nucleotides) under Pan troglodytes (chimpanzee). RNAcentral's name for it is "retained intron". Lineage: Eukaryota; Metazoa; Chordata; Mammalia; Primates; Hominidae. The record is from RNAcentral.